CUAGUACUCCUUCCGUUCGAAAAAGCUUGUCCCUCAAAUGGAUGUAUCUAGCACCAAAUUAGUGCUAGAUACAUCUAUUUGAGGAACAAGCUUGGGACAAGCUUUUCCGGAAGGAGGGAGUAGUAA
This is a non-coding RNA of Triticum aestivum (bread wheat), 126 nucleotides long. The record is from Rfam. Lineage: Eukaryota; Viridiplantae; Streptophyta; Magnoliopsida; Poales; Poaceae.